Molecule: ribosomal RNA, 365 nt
Filed under: Salmonella enterica subsp. enterica serovar Oranienburg
Lineage: Bacteria; Pseudomonadati; Pseudomonadota; Gammaproteobacteria; Enterobacterales; Enterobacteriaceae
Also listed under: 2 other names
Description: partial 23S ribosomal RNA
Rfam family: Bacterial large subunit ribosomal RNA
Source: RNAcentral
GAAUGCUGACAUAAGUAACGAUAAAGCGGGUGAAAAGCCCGCUCGCCGGAAGACCAAGGGUUCCUGUCCAACGUUAAUCGGGGCAGGGUGAGUCGACCCCUAAGGCGAGGCCGAAAGGCGUAGUCGAUGGGAAACGGGUUAAUAUUCCCGUACUUGGUGUUACUGCGAAGGGGGGACGGAGAAGGCUAUGUUGGCCGGGCGACGGUUGUCCCGGUUUAAGCGUGUAGGUGUGUGUUCCAGGUAAAUCCGGUUCACUUUAACACUGAGGCGUGAUGACGAGGCACUACGGUGCUGAAGCAACAAAUGCCCUGCUUCCAGGAAAAGCCUCUAAGCAUCAGGUAACAUCAAAUCGUACCCCAAACCGA